UGAAUCAGGUGGAACCUGAGCAUUGUGAGGUUCCUGUUUCCUGGCUGGCAUUGGAGCUGGAGUCUGUGGUGGCUGGUUAGCAGUGGAAGUUGUAGAGCUGGAACUCAGCUGGAGGCCUCAGUGUCCAUCCUGCCCAAACCAUCUGGGAAGCCAGGCAGAGCCGUGUGUGCUUCAGUUAAGAGGCCUGCAGCAGCUUUGGAUUCCUCAUUGCAAAACUGGAGUAGUCCUGUUAGUCCCUUUUCGGCGUCUGAGUCCAUUCAAGUUGAAAGAAGUACUUACCGGAUACAAAAGUGGGUCAGAGUAACUUUGGGACAGGAGCCUUUUUAUAGAGCUGGGUCUUCUCAGGAUUGGGAGAGAAAGUCUACUUGCCGGGUUCCCUGCAGCCUGCCUAUGCACUCCCCAGCUGGAGUCCAGACCCACUGCCUCCUGUACCUGCGUUCACCUCCCUCUGUGCUGUCGAAGGAGAUUCCUGCCUUGACAAGAGGACUGUGGCCCUUCCUCGGAGCCCCCUCUGGACCCACUCUCCCAGUACCGCCCGGGAAAGAUGCGGCAGCUCAAGGGGAAGCCCAAGAAGGAGACGUCCAAGGACAAGAAGGAGCGGAAGCAGGCCAUGCAGGAGGCCCGGCAGCAGAUCACCACGGUGGUGCUGCCCACGCUGGCUGUGGUCGUGCUCCUGAUCGUGGUGUUCGUGUACGUGGCUACACGCCCCACUGUCGCCGAGUGAGUGCGCCGCCGGCUGUGGACACCAUGGGCAGGGAGAGGAGGCGCUGGAGGGGAAAGCGGUCGAAAAAUGGCUUUCUUCCUCGGAGCUGUCCAUGAUGCUGGGCUGUAAGCAGGAGCACCCUGUCUUCUCUAGUCUUUGACUUGAUUAAAGUUCUCCACUUUUCUUGGGAGGGAAUAGGGAACGUUUUUAUCAGUGAAUGUGCCAUAUACCUUAUGGUCCACUUCAUGUGCCUUUCAGACUUCAAAGCUGUGUAUGCGUGCGUGCGUGUGUGAGUGUGUAUGUGUUUCUUUUCUCUCCUGAAAUCAGUAGCUCCACCUGGUGAGAUAGGUGUCUCCGGGUCACAAAGCAGCUGGAAUCAGUACUCACCUCACCCCCAUUGUCUGGAACAUGACUCUUUCCUACACGUGUUCACAAUUUCCAAAGGGACUGUAUUUCUCCUCGUGCUCAAUGUGAUUUGAAAUAUGUUGACUCAAAGUGAAAUAUUUAUUUUUUGAAUAAAGGAGAUAAUAGCCUUAAA
Molecule: non-coding RNA, 1241 nt
Organism: Oryctolagus cuniculus (rabbit)
Lineage: Eukaryota; Metazoa; Chordata; Mammalia; Lagomorpha; Leporidae
Source: RefSeq, a predicted model, not a curated record